UUGCUCUUCAACGAGGAAUGCCUAGUAAGCGCAUGUCAUCAGCAUGCGUUGAUUACGUCCCUGCCCUUUGUACACACCGCCCGUCGCUACUACCGAUUGAAUGGCUCAGUGAGGCCUCCGGACUGGCUCGAAGAGGUUGGCAACGACCACUUCGAGCCGGAAAGCUGGUCAAACUCGGUCAUUUAGAGGAAGUAAAAGUCGUAACAAGGUUUCCGUAGGUGAACCUGCGGAAGGAUCAUUACCGAGUUAGGGCCUGCCUCUUCGGCGCCCGACCUCCCAACCCCGUGUCUACUAUACCUAAUUGUUGCUUCGGUGGGCCGGUCUGAAAGAACACCGCUGGGCCUCUGUGCCUGGAGAGCGCCCGCCGAUGGCCCAAUCUCAAGCUCUUAGCACUAAACCAUGUCGUCUAAAGCAAAAACUAUUUGAUUUAAUCAAAAUUAAAACUUUCAACAACGGAUCUCUUGGUUCUGGCAUCGAUGAAGAACGCAGCGAAAUGCGAUAAGUAAUGCGAAUUGCAGAAUUUCCGUGAGUCAUCGAAUCUUUGAACGCACAUUGCGCCCUUUGGUAUUCCGAAGGGCAUGCCUGUUCGAGCGUCAUUAUCCCCCCUCAAACCUCGUGUUUGGCGUUGGACCCGUGUUGGUUGGCGACGAUCAACUGGUCCCAAAGACAAUGACGGUUCCCGCUGGGACCCUUGGUGCAACGAGCUUCUUUCGAGAGCACGCAUCGGGUGGGAUCCAGCGGGCCGGUCUCCUUAAAAGUUUUUUCUAAAGGUUGACCUCGGAUCAGGUAGGAAUACCCGCUGAACUUAAGCAUAUCAAUAAGCGGAGGA
This 829-nucleotide ribosomal RNA is filed under the name uncultured fungus. RNAcentral's name for it is "eukaryotic LSU rRNA". The stretch from base 1 to 241 matches the Rfam family "Eukaryotic small subunit ribosomal RNA", at positions 1593 to 1831 of the family's 1831-position model. The record is from RNAcentral. Lineage: Eukaryota; Fungi.